UUGCUGGGAAUUGAACUCAGGACCUCCGAAAGAGCAGCCAGUUCUCUUAAGUGCUGAACCAUCUCUCUAGCCUUUAGGUGCAUUUCGUUUUUCUUCAAUCAUUUCUGUCUCAAAUUGAUACCUGAAGACUCUGAAAGUUUGAUAGACCUUCAUGGUGAUCAGGGUUACUGUCUUAUUGUAUUGUUUUGGUGUAUAAUUAAAGCAGGCUAUGCAAGGGCUGUGUUUUUAUUUUCUCAUCUCCCAUACAUACACGUGGGGUUGGCAGGAUCCCACCUGCCCCUAAUUGGCUGUGUUUACACUCUGCACAAACUGGUGUCUGCCCUCUGUGGAGGUCACAGCAGGCCUCUCUUCUAGACCUUUCAGGAAUACCAUUGUGUUGACUUGGAGUUUUAUCAUUACAGUGUUGCCAUGUGUGCUACUAAUCAUGUAAUAUUUGAUAAAGUGAGUUGUGAGAAAAUGGAAGUCAUUAAGGAAGCCGUAGACAUUCAAAUCAUGACCCUGGGUGUUUAUUUAAUUUGCCCCGGGGAUAUGCAAUAACAUUUGAAGCUACUGCCAGAAGAGUUACGUGUUUGUCCUCAAAGUUUGUAUUCUGCCCCCCCCCCCUUCUUGCUUGCUGGGAAUGCACAGUUCACUCGGUAGCAAUGGUCCAGUCCACGCUUUGAAUAGCGCCAGUGUCUCUUAUUGUUGUCAUUGUGACUUCUUGUGUAAUCCAAAGCGGGAAUCUUAUUUAUGUAUUUAUCUCACUUCCUGUCCCCUUCCUUCAACCUCAGAUUAAGUUGAUAAUUCUUGUUUUGUUUUUUGUUUUUUCCUCUUCCCCCUUUUUGCCUCCUUAAAUAAUAUCGAAUAGUGCUCAGCACUGGAAACUGUUAGAUGAUGAAGAUGUUCAAAGUAUAUGAUUAAGAAAAUCCCUUAUCCCUUCAAAACCUCCCAGUGAGUGUGUAUAGAUAGUACUGUUUGGAAGUUGUUUUUGAAACUUUCCCAUAGUGGGUUCUCAGCCUGUGGGUCUCCGACCUCUGCACAUCUGUCACGUAUCAGAGAUUUACAUAAAAGUAGCACAAUUACAGCUAUGAAGUAGCAAUAAAAUAAUUUUACGAUGGGGGGGGGUCACCACCACAACAUGAGGACUUGUAUUAAAGGGUUUGCAGCGUUAGGAAAGUUGAGAGCCAUUGCCCUAAGUUAUCAUCUCUGCUUAGCUUGUUUGGAAGGGAUGAGUUAAUGAGCAAACUUUCCCCCAGGUGUCUGGAGUCAAGGGAAGAGCAGGGAUAUCUUGUUUUUCCUUCACAGGAUUCCUUUGCUGUUUCAUUGGAGCCCAGGGAAGAGGGGGGAAUGGAGCUAGAGCUGCUUCAAAGAACUUGCAGCUGAGAAAUGAAGGAAAACAGAUAAAUGGCUGCCUGGGCUAGACAGCAGGCACCAGGAAGUAGAGCGUCUGACUUGGCGAUGCGAGUUUUCAAGGUGCUCCCCUGAGCGCUGGACAUCAGGUCACGUCACAGCAUCUCUGGGGCUUGUCACUAGCAGGAGUAGGUUCCGUUUCCUAGGACCUCAACCCUAGUUCUCAGGAGGAGAAGGAGGGCAUUUGUGGCUCACGAGAUGAAGUCCUGUGUCAAGGCGGGCUGCUUUUGCUCCUAUCCUCACCCGCUCAUGGGUCUUCUCAGAGAGUCUACAAAUCCAUUGAUUCACAUGCGAUCGGCAAUAAGCUAUCAGCCGCCAUCGGGAUUAUGAAUCGGUGUGCUGUCCUCGGUUAGAGAAUUGAGUGUGCCACAGAACACCUGAUGUUAACAGCCUUAGAAGAGUCCGAGACGACUGGUUUUUCGCAGAGAACCUGAGUUCAGUUCUUGGCACCCACAAUGGUUCAUGAUCACCUAUAACUUCAGCUUGUGUGGAUCUGGUACUCUCUUCUGGCAACUAUACUCACGUGCACAUGGCUCCCUCCAUAUACACAAAGAGUCUUGUUUUAAGAUUUUCCCUCCUGAUUAAAGAGUUUUUGGACCUUAAGUUUCCCUUACUGGCAAGAAAUUUAAUGCACAUAGAGGAAGGAAGAGUACAUGUCCUUUUCUCACAAAAAUGGAUACUCCCAGAAGCCAGUGCAGUUUCCUCUACUUGAAAGAGAGACUUGGGAACCACACCAGAAUCAGAGAAGAUGUCUAUGAACCCAGCGCCUGAUGGAAAUCACUCCAUGUUUCUCUAAUAAAAGUGACUUCACUCACCUUAGAGUUUAAGGUUCUUUUCCAAUGUGUCCCACCCCUCGCCAUUUUAUAAGAUUCUGAGAUUAACUGUCAGGCAAAGCCAGCGUCUGUUAUGAUUCACAGACAGACCACGAUGCUGCAAAGUGCGGAUGACAACCAUAUGCCUGUGGAAUCCCCGGGGGAUAUCUCACUUCACCACGGACACUAGAUGGAUUCGUUUUUUUAAGACGCUGAUUUUGCCGUCGGGCCUACCAGAACCAGACUUGCCGUUAUGGCUUCAGAUUUUUUCUGCUUUCUCGCUUCUCCCUUCUUUCAAAGAUCAGGGCAGUCAUUCCUCCCCUGGAGUGUCCUCCCUUCCCAUGCCCACUUGCUGCAGCUCUUGCCUCACAUCAACUCAACGCAGUGAGUUCUGCAGGGACCACAUGCAUGCCUUCCCUCAUUCUUGGUUUAGAUGCCCAGUCAAGAAGGUUAGUGAGGGUAGGACACCUCCAUUCCCAUAUGGGACUCCUCCCUCUGGGCCACUUCUCUUGGCCAACCCUAGAAAGUAGAUCCAUCUUACUUGCAGGGAAAAAAGAAAAAAAAUAUGACUAUGGGAGAUGCUUGACAGGCAUGCCCGUCCUAUGACCUGUGGCUCACAGGCAGCUCAGAUAGCUGUGAGCACCGCCCAGCGUGUUUGUUGAUGAUGGUGAUGUGUAACGCAGUGAAGAUUGGAGACCCCCAUCAAGCCCUUGAAGAACAUACAGUAAACUCUCAGGAGCUUACAAAUGAUAGGAUGUUAUUCUCAUCAUCUGAAGCAGGCAUUCUCAACCUGUGGGUUGUGACCCCUUUCCGGGUUCAAACAACCCUUGUGUGGAGGCCACAUAUCAGAUAUUUUCAUUAUGAUUCAUAACAAUAGCAAGG
Long non-coding RNA from Mesocricetus auratus (golden hamster), 3083 nucleotides. RefSeq lists it as uncharacterized. The transcript has 3 exons. Lineage: Eukaryota; Metazoa; Chordata; Mammalia; Rodentia; Cricetidae. The record is from RefSeq and is a predicted model, not a curated record.